RNAcentral lists this non-coding RNA (67 nucleotides) under Desulfovibrio fairfieldensis. The record is from RNAcentral. Lineage: Bacteria; Pseudomonadati; Thermodesulfobacteriota; Desulfovibrionia; Desulfovibrionales; Desulfovibrionaceae.
GCGCGAAAACGCCCCCCGUGGGGCGGUCGUCGGAGCGUGGCGGCUCCGACCUGACGAGCAGCCAAGG